UGGAGGAAAGUAGGGGAUCGCAAGACCUUGUGCUUUUGGAGCGGCCGAUGCCUGAUUAGCUAGUUGGUAAGGUAAAGGCUUACCAAGGCUUCGAUCAGUAGUUGGUCUGAGAGGACGACCAGCCACACUGGGACUGAGACACGGCCCAGACUCCUACGGGAGGCAGCAGUGGGGAAUUUUGGACAAUGGGGGAAACCCUGAUCCAGCCAUGCCGCGUGAGUGAAGAAGGCCUUCGGGUUGUAAAGCUCUUUCAGUUGAGAAGAAAAGAUUACGACUAAUAAUCGUGAUUCAUGACGGUAUCAACAGAAGAAGCACCGGCUAACUACGUGCCAGCAGCCGCGGUAAUACGUAGGGUGCAAGCGUUAAUCGGAAUUACUGGGCGUAAAGGGUGCGCAGGCGGUCUUGUAAGUCAGAUGUGAAAUCCCCGGGCUUAACCUGGGAACUGCGUUUGAAACUACAAAGCUAG
This 466-nucleotide ribosomal RNA is filed under the name uncultured ammonia-oxidizing beta proteobacterium. RNAcentral describes it as "bacterial SSU rRNA". It matches the Rfam family "Bacterial small subunit ribosomal RNA", at positions 197 to 644 of the family's 1533-position model. Lineage: Bacteria; Pseudomonadati; Pseudomonadota; Betaproteobacteria. The record is from RNAcentral.